GGGGGCGCCUGGUUUCGACAGAUAAAUACUAUGGUGUAGUUGCAUGCCGAGGAUCCAAAGUUCCUCGAAAAUCCCUUUGGAAAAACAAUAAGUGGCGAAUAUAGCUACGCUGCUGCUGCUUAAUUGUCAGUAGCUGUCUAUUAAUGGGCGCGUUCGCCUCCUAUUAAAUAGGCAUCAUUAAUGCGAACUAGCUUAUUAUGCUGUCUAGACAUAAUAAGCGAAAUAUAUAGGCUAGUUUGAAAAUAGUUUGACUAUUUAUGAAAAUCAAAUGAACCUUAAAAAAUAGUCUAAGCAUGUAGACGCUAUAUUAAUAGAUUAUUUGGACGGGAGUUCGAUUCUCCCCGCCUCCACAC
RNAcentral lists this transfer-messenger RNA (353 nucleotides) under bacterium. RNAcentral describes it as "GCA-002718655 sp002718655 Standard tmRNA". It matches the Rfam family "transfer-messenger RNA". From Rfam's summary of the family: Bacterial tmRNA, also known as 10Sa RNA or SsrA, is named for its dual tRNA and mRNA-like properties. RNAcentral also lists the same sequence under 1 other name. The record is from RNAcentral.